RNAcentral lists this ribosomal RNA (253 nucleotides) under uncultured bacterium. RNAcentral's name for it is "partial 16S ribosomal RNA". It matches the Rfam family "Bacterial small subunit ribosomal RNA", at positions 524 to 776 of the family's 1533-position model. The record is from RNAcentral.
UCCGUAGGGUGCGAUCGUUAAUCGGAAUUACUGGGCGUAAAGCGUGCGCAGGCGGUUAUGUAAGACAGAGGUGAAAUCCCCGGGCUCAACCUGGGAACUGCCUUUGUGACUGCAUGACUAGAGUACGGCAGAGGGGGAUGGAAUUCCGCGUGUAGCAGUGAAAUGCGUAGAUAUGCGGAGGAACACCGAUGGCGAAGGCAAUCCCCUGGGCCUGUACUGACGCUCAUGCACGAAAGCGUGGGGAGAAAACAGG